AUUCAGUUAAUGAGUCCCUAAUAGGACGAAACACUUGUCCUAGAU
Non-coding RNA from Schistosoma curassoni, 45 nucleotides. Lineage: Eukaryota; Metazoa; Platyhelminthes; Trematoda; Strigeidida; Schistosomatidae. The record is from Rfam.